Molecule: ribosomal RNA, 1372 nt
Filed under: uncultured bacterium
Lineage: Bacteria
Description: bacterial SSU rRNA
Rfam family: Bacterial small subunit ribosomal RNA
Source: RNAcentral
GAUGAACGCUGGCGGCGUGCCUAAUACAUGCAAGUCGAGCGAACAGACAAGGAGCUUGCUCCUUUGACGUUAGCGGCGGACGGGUGAGUAACACGUGGGUAACCUACCUAUAAGACUGGGAUAACUUCGGGAAACCGGAGCUAAUACCGGAUAAUAUUUCGAACCGCAUGGUUCGAUAGUGAAAGAUGGUUUUGCUAUCACUUAUAGAUGGACCCGCGCCGUAUUAGCUAGUUGGUAAGGUAACGGCUUACCAGGGCGACGAUACGUAGCCGACCUGAGAGGGUGAUCGGCCACACUGGAACUGAGACACGGUCCAGACUCCUACGGGAGGCAGCAGUAGGGAAUCUUCCGCAAUGGGCGAAAGCCUGACGGAGCAACGCCGCGUGAGUGAUGAAGGUCUUCGGAUCGUAAAACUCUGUUAUUAGGGAAGAACAUACGUGUAAGUAACUAUGCACGUCUUGACGGUACCUAAUCAGAAAGCCACGGCUAACUACGUGCCAGCAACCGCGGUAAUACGUAGGUGGCAAGCGUUAUCCGGAAUUAUUGGGCGUAAAGCGCGCGUAGGCGGUUUUUUAAGUCUGAUGUGAAAGCCCACGGCUCAACCGUGGAGGGUCAUUGGAAACUGGAAAACUUGAGUGCAGAAGAGGAAAGUGGAAUUCCAUGUGUAGCGGUGAAAUGCGCAGAGAUAUGGAGGAACACCAGUGGCGAAGGCGACUUUCUGGUCUGUAACUGACGCUGAUGUGCGAAAGCGUGGGGAUCAAACAGGAUUAGAUACCCUGGUAGUCCACGCCGUAAACGAUGAGUGCUAAGUGUUAGGGGGUUUCCGCCCCUUAGUGCUGCAGCUAACGCAUUAAGCACUCCGCCUGGGGAGUACGACCGCAAGGUUGAAACUCAAAGGAAUUGACGGGGACCCGCACAAGCGGUGGAGCAUGUGGUUUAAUUCGAAGCAACGCGAAGAACCUUACCAAAUCUUGACAUCCUUUGACAACUCUAGAGAUAGAGCUUUCCCCUUCGGGGGACAAAGUGACAGGUGGUGCAUGGUUGUCGUCAGCUCGUGUCGUGAGAUGUUGGGUUAAGUCCCGCAACGAGCGCAACCCUUAAGCUUAGUUGCCAUCAUUAAGUUGGGCACUCUAAGUUGACUGCCGGUGACAAACCGGAGGAAGGUGGGGAUGACGUCAAAUCAUCAUGCCCCUUAUGAUUUGGGCUACACACGUGCUACAAUGGACAAUACAAAGGGCAGCGAAACCGCGAGGUCAAGCAAAUCCCAUAAAGUUGUUCUCAGUUCGGAUUGUAGUCUGCAACUCGACUACAUGAAGCUGGAAUCGCUAGUAAUCGUAGAUCAGCAUGCUACGGUGAAUAAGUUCCCGGGUCU